This 455-nucleotide ribosomal RNA is filed under the name uncultured bacterium. RNAcentral's name for it is "SSU rRNA". It matches the Rfam family "Bacterial small subunit ribosomal RNA", at positions 26 to 518 of the family's 1533-position model. The record is from RNAcentral.
AGAACGAACGCUGGCGGCAUGCCUAGCACAUGCAAGUCGAACGCUCUUGGUUUCGGCCAAGGGAGUGGCGCACGGGUGAGUAACGCGUGGGAACCUGCCCUGGAGUGGGGGAUAACCGAGGGAAACCUCGGCUAAUACCGCAUACGACCUGAGGGUGAAAGAUUUAUCGCUCUAGGAGGGGCCCGCGUCGGAUUAGCUAGUUGGUGAGGUAACGGCCCACCAAGGCUAUGAUCCGUAGCUGGUCUGAGAGGAUGAUCAGCCACACUGGGACUGAGACACGGCCCAGACUCCUACGGGAGGCAGCAGUGGGAAUAUUGGACAAUGGGCGCAAGCCUGAUCCAGCCAUGCCGCGUGAGUGAUGAAGGCCCUAGGGUUGUAAAGCUUCUUUUGUGCGGGAAGAUAAGUGGACGGUACCGCAAGAAUAACGCCCCGGCUAACUUCGUGCCAGCAGCCGC